Pteronotus mesoamericanus is the source of this 201-nucleotide small nucleolar RNA. RefSeq annotates it as small nucleolar RNA SNORA23. Lineage: Eukaryota; Metazoa; Chordata; Mammalia; Chiroptera; Mormoopidae. The record is from RefSeq and is a predicted model, not a curated record. The transcript has a single exon.
AUUUACCCAUGUCUAUAUUUCUCUAAAAUGUUUCGUAAAAUGUAAUUGGUCAUUUAAAAGUGAACUGGUUAUUGCAUUCAGAUUUUGCUAUCCACACAAACAUCAUGCAGCCAAAGAGUAAGUUGGGAUCAUAGUACUGGUCUAGUGUUGUCUCAUUGGACAUAAUUUUACACUGACCAGCCUCCAAAUUCCCACACAGAA